This 457-nucleotide ribosomal RNA is filed under the name Lancefieldella rimae. Its description in RNAcentral is "bacterial SSU rRNA". It matches the Rfam family "Bacterial small subunit ribosomal RNA", at positions 28 to 497 of the family's 1533-position model. The record is from RNAcentral. Lineage: Bacteria; Bacillati; Actinomycetota; Coriobacteriia; Coriobacteriales; Atopobiaceae.
GAUGAACGCUGGCGGCGCGCCUAACACAUGCAAGUCGAACGGUUAAAGCACCUUUUAGGUGUGUAUAAAGUGGCGAACGGCUGAGUAACACGUGGGCAACCUGCCCUCCUCUUGGGGAUAGCCUCGGGAAACCGAGGAUAAUACCCGAUACUUCAAUGUGGCCGCAUGACGACAUUGAGAAAGCUUUUGCGGAGAAGGAUGGGCCCGCGGCCUGUUAGCUUGUUGGUGGGGUAGAGGCCUACCAAGGCAAUGAUGGGUAGCUGGGUUGAGAGACCGACCAGCCAGAUUGGGACUGAGACACGGCCCAGACUCCUACGGGAGGCAGCAGUGGGGAAUCUUGCACAAUGGGCGAAAGCCUGAUGCAGCGACGCCGCGUGCGGGACGAAGGCCUUCGGGUUGUAAACCGCUUUCAGCAGGGACGAGGCGAAAGUGACGUACCUGCAGAAGAAGCCCCGCU